AUGCAGCAGGAGGGCUACCAUCUAUCCGAUGGUGCCUUACCCGUCGUGAUGCAGCAGCACGGCGAGCGGCGCGCGGUUCACGUACCAGUUCGUCAAGUGGAUCAUCGCCAAGCGACGAAGCGGUCCUCGGUUCGAGCCAUGGUGAGGGUGGUGCUGGCAGCUGUGGCCACUCGUAGGCCUGGCUGGCAUCUUGACUUCAGCAACUGCCCGACUCAUGCCCCCCCAGCUCCUCGAGUGCACGUACAGUCUUACACUCGCCCUCGCUGCCCUCCACUUUUCCAAUUGCUCGGGCAACUAAUUUUCUGCAUAAUCUAUAGAUGA
RNAcentral lists this ribosomal RNA (321 nucleotides) under Triticum aestivum (bread wheat). RNAcentral's name for it is "partial small subunit ribosomal RNA". Lineage: Eukaryota; Viridiplantae; Streptophyta; Magnoliopsida; Poales; Poaceae. The record is from RNAcentral.